AUCCUUAUAACAUCAGUGUCAUCACAACUGGGUGGAGUAAUUGAGUAGAAAAGAUACACAACUGGACAACUAUAGUAUUUCCUAUUUCUGCAGAUCAGAAUGAAUCUCUACUACUUCUCCAGCAACAAGCCUCCUAUGUCUGCAAUAUGCUGCUGAACAUGACGUCGGUGGACUAAGACUCUGCAAUUCUAACACUCAAGUGCUAUAUUGAAGAGGUACGGAGACAGUGGACAACCUUAUUUUAGUGAAAUUGUUUUGAAUUUCUGCUACAAGCUGCAACAUUAUACAGUGAUUGCUCAGUCAUCUUUUCACAACUGAUUUAUCAGAAUCAAGGAAUCUGGUAAAGACUAAAC
This is a non-coding RNA of Myodes glareolus (Bank vole), 353 nucleotides long. The record is from RefSeq and is a predicted model, not a curated record. NCBI's taxonomy places the organism in Eukaryota, Metazoa, Chordata, Mammalia, Rodentia, Cricetidae.